UACGGAGGGUGCAAGCGUUAUCCGGAUUCACUGGGUUUAAAGGGUGCGUAGGUGGAGUGGUAAGUCAGUGGUGAAAUCUCCAAGCUUAACUUGGAAACUGCCGUUGAUACUAUCAUUCUUGAAUAUCGUGGAGGUAAGCGGAAUAUGUCAUGUAGCGGUGAAAUGCUUAGAUAUGACAUAGAACACCGAUUGCGAAGGCAGCUUGCUACACGAUCAUUGACACUGAGGCACGAAGGCGUGGGGAGCAAACAGG
RNAcentral lists this ribosomal RNA (253 nucleotides) under uncultured bacterium. RNAcentral's name for it is "partial 16S ribosomal RNA". It matches the Rfam family "Bacterial small subunit ribosomal RNA", at positions 524 to 776 of the family's 1533-position model. The record is from RNAcentral.